Long non-coding RNA from Syngnathus typhle (broad-nosed pipefish), 1529 nucleotides. RefSeq lists it as uncharacterized. The transcript has 3 exons. The record is from RefSeq and is a predicted model, not a curated record. Lineage: Eukaryota; Metazoa; Chordata; Actinopteri; Syngnathiformes; Syngnathidae.
GAACCGGACAGGCAGUAAGUGGGCAGCUGCAAGCCAUGUUAUCCAAAGACUAGAGUUACAUGAGCAGUUUGAGCCCUCGUUAGCAUGUGAACCGCUUAUGCUAGGUUAGCAUGACAUGCUGAUUUUAAGCGGAGGCCGAAAUGAUUCUCACACACAGACGCAAAAAUGACAUAUUGAUGUAAAAAUAGCAAACCGCCGAAGAUCACGCUGCACUAUUUCAUUUAAGGAACUGUAUGAUCUUACGGCGGCCCCUUGCCCUUGCCAAACCUAAUAAGAAGAUGAUCUCCGAUGUCCACUACCCAGGGUGCUGUAAGACAAUCUGAUUGGAUAAACUGUGGGAGGACACAGAUUGGCUUAGCAGCGAGCUAAGUCUCGCACGACUCAGCAUUUUGCCAGCGUCAUUAUUGGAGAAGAUCGAGACGUGAGGGCCACCUGAAUUGUAGUAAUGAAAAGUAUUCCCCUUUCAAACUGAAGCUAUUUACGUGAAGAAAAAAGCGUUCAACAUAGAAUAUGAAGUGUGGUGUUCACAUUUCUCCCUCUCUGCUCUCUCCUCACAUCUCCCUCUUUCAUCCUUGCAUUCUCUCUCUGGACAGCUCUCCAAACAGGCCAGCAGACAAAGUGUUCAGUCAAGCCUCCUAAUUGCUGGCUCAUAUGGGCCGUCAGAUCGCAGCAGAAAGCUUUGGUAACGGUCCAGCAAUCAUUAAUUCACUUGGAAGUAUACUCUCGACAAGCAAGGCCUGCUCUGACCACUCCAAGGGCCGGGCUAUCGUGUGAAUGGUGGCGUGCACAUGUAGUGCCUGGAUCCACCUUCAGAGCCCCGUCCAGGCUUUAUCCGCACAUCUGAGGCCACGCAUGGACCUCGGAAGCCCAAUCCAGUUUGUUUCCUUCAAUCCGAUUAGUUGCUUUUCAGAUCUAUACUAAUUACAGCAAUCCUCCAACCCUCCUCUUCUCUUCCACCUUCUCCAUCCUCCUUGUUCAAGUCUUGACCACGUCAGCAUUAACCGCUAAUCUCCAGUCCAGCUCGGGCCAACAGUCGGCCGCUGCUAACCAGGUGUUAGACUAGUAGAGAAGUGCACGGCAGCUGGUUGGAGCAUAUGCACUUUCGGCGCGGCUGCGGAUGAAAGCAUUUGUGUCGAACGGCCAAUAGCAAACAAAAUAAAUAAAUAAACACUGCACUUUAGUUGGUUUUUACUCCAAUAAGCAAAAAUGACCCUUUUUUAUCAUCCUAACAUAUUGCAUAGGACGACUAAUAGCAAUAACUCAGUGGAAUUCAAAAUAAUUUUGACUAAAUCCACGUUGAGACAAAGUGGAGGGGAAAAAAACGGAUCCCACCCCGUUCUUCUUUUCCCUAACUGCUUCCAGUGAAGUGUUUCUCUCGAGAAAACAAAUACCAGUUGUGCCCUUCUCCUGUGUCCAGAAAACAGCACACCGCUGCCCCGAGGCCAUUUUCUGCCCUGGCAGGAAAUCUAACCAGCAACAACUUCUCUCUAAAAACAAUACACGGCCUCCUAUUUGUUGUCGUGCUACAG